Molecule: long non-coding RNA, 1930 nt
Organism: Brassica napus (rape)
Lineage: Eukaryota; Viridiplantae; Streptophyta; Magnoliopsida; Brassicales; Brassicaceae
Exons: 2
Source: RefSeq, a predicted model, not a curated record
GCUAUCCACAUCAGCUGACAGGUCACAUAUUCAAAUGCUAUACGCGCGACACCUGUCCCAGACGACUGAAACUCACCGUUUCAUUUAUUCCUCUUCUGAUGGGCUUUUUAAUUCACGUUUUAUGGCACGUUUUCUAUAUGCUUAAAGGGCCUGAAUAGAAAAUGUAUUGGGCCUUGCAUCUCUAAACCUAAAGUUGUCUCUCUUAUGGUCUCGAAGUCAAGGUUCUCACCGUCGUCCUAAUCAUGGUCAUGCUACCGCCAUGGAUUCACAGUCGUGUUCUGUUAGUCGAUUGAGUACCAGCGUACCCUAAUUGAACGCAAACCGGUAUUUUAUUGAAUUCUCUCUACUGCCGUCAGAAAAAUUUGGAUACGUUACAGCAAGUCGGUUGAAUUCACGCCAUCAUUAACAACAACUUUCCACUUCUCAACACGAUCAAAGUCGGUUGAAUUCACGCCAUCAUUAACAACAACUUUCCACUUCUCAACACGAUCUGUCAUUGAAUGCAUCCCCAUUACUUCUAUUGCGUGAAUCUUCAAGUAUAAAUAGGUAACUCUUUCAUCAGUUCAAUCCAAUCCUCUCAGAAGCAUGCUAUCUAGAUCCGCUCUAUAUCCACAAAGAAGCCGCACAGCUUACUUCGUAGUCACCAACUCGCACCUACUCAGCCUCCCACAGUUUGAUUUCUCUUCAGCUCUGCGGUUAAAUUUAGCAAAUGUCAUAUGACAAGCGGAUAGCACGGUUUCUCAGCUUAAAGCUAUUUCAGAGCAACUUGCUUCAGCAAAGCAUUUGGAGGUUCUUCAGGUGUCUCUACCUGCAAAUGUCCAAACUGAAAUCGAGCAGAUUGGAGAGAUACUGAAUUCUUCUAUAGCUCCAAUGACAUAAGAGACGUUCUCAAUUCCGUGUAAGAACAACCCAUCUGUUACGAAUCCUUAUGUUAAAUCUUGAAAACAGUGUAACAGGUCAUCUUCUUUAUUGCAGAAGGGUGGCGCUUAUCACAGUUUCAAUCCUUAUGCUUACCUCUUUACAAUUCUUGGUCUCGGUAAGUCACAAAUCUGCAUCUUUUGUAAUGUUUUAAGGUUUUGAAAGAUGAGCUUCUGUAUAUCUCCUGCAAUCUUCCACUACAUGUUUCUCAACUGUAUGUAUAACUCAUGAUCUUAUCUAAUCAUCUACUCUUGCAGUUUCUUCAAUUUUUGGGAUACAUCUCAUUGUCUACACGAACAAUAACCCUGGAAUGUUCUUUUUGUACUUUUUAUAAGUAAGAACUAUUUGAAUCUUUUCCUCUUCCGCAGCCGUAUGAUUCUUGGAUGGUGUUGGUGACUGAUGAUUCUGGUACAUUCAUCUUGAGCAGAGCAUUCCUUCUGUUACAAAAAUAUGUCUCAUGAUUCUUCAUGAAUUUCUUCUUUAUCGUUCAAAUUUGUUAAUGUGUUUGGUUGAGCAUUAGUGAAACUGCAGGCAGAUGUAUAGCUGAGCAAAUAACUGAAGUGCUUAUAAAUUUGGAAACAUGACCAUGCAUCCUCUGCACACGUGACCUGCAAGCCUUUUAAAAUAUGUUAACAGAUCACUUCUUCUCUAAUUCAAAUUGUGCUUACAAAAAAAUUCACCAGUAUUAUAUACAGUAAAUCAGUUUAGUGGGAUACAAAAAAAAUUCCACCAGUUUCAGAUUUUCUAUUUUGAAAUAAUUUUAGUUAAAAUGAAUAAGUUAUUUCUUUUGCAUCGUCUAAAUCAUUAAUUUUAAGAAAAACUGUAUAAAGAAAAAGAAAAAAAAAACAGUUUAUUUCAUGAACAAAUCUAAGAGACAGAAGUAAGUUCAUUUUACUUAAUAUUUAUAACGUGAUUAGACCGUAGUGUUUUAAAAAUAUUAUUUUACUUAUUUUUAUUAAAGUGAAAUAAACAUUGAGAGUAUCUAAAAAAUAUAUUAUAAUAUUAUAAUAAC